GUCCACGCCUAACGAUGGCAACUAGGUGUUGGGAAGCGAUUCCUUGGUACCGUAGCUAACGCGUGAAGUUGCCCGCCUGGGAGUACGGUCGCAAGAUUAAACUCAAAGGAAUUGACGGGACCCGCACAAGCGGUGGAUGAUGUGGAUUAAUUCGAUGCAACGCGAACAACCUUACCUACCCUUGACAUGUCCGGAACCCUGCCGAGAGGUGGGUGCCCGAAAGGGAAUCGGAACACAGGUGCUGCAUGGCUGUCGU
This 256-nucleotide ribosomal RNA is filed under the name uncultured bacterium. Its description in RNAcentral is "partial 16S ribosomal RNA". It matches the Rfam family "Bacterial small subunit ribosomal RNA", at positions 793 to 1055 of the family's 1533-position model. The record is from RNAcentral.